UAUGGUAAUUGUGGCAGCCGCGGUAAUACGGAAGGUCCGGGCGUUAUCCGGAUUUAUUGGGUUUAAAGGGAGCGUAGGCCGGAGAUUAAGCGUGUUGUGAAAUGUAGAUGCUCAACAUCUGAACUGCAGCGCGAACUGGUUUCCUUGAGUACGCAUAAAGUGGGCGGAAUUCGUGGUGUAGCGGUGAAAUGCUUAGAUAUCACGAAGAACUCCGAUUGCGAAGGCAGCUCACUGGGGCGCAACUGACGCUGAAGCUCGAAAGCGCGGGUAUCGAACAGG
Molecule: ribosomal RNA, 279 nt
Filed under: Segatella copri DSM 18205
Lineage: Bacteria; Pseudomonadati; Bacteroidota; Bacteroidia; Bacteroidales; Prevotellaceae
Description: Prevotella copri DSM 18205 partial 16S ribosomal RNA
Rfam family: Bacterial small subunit ribosomal RNA
Source: RNAcentral